RNAcentral lists this ribosomal RNA (674 nucleotides) under Diplothamnion jolyi. RNAcentral describes it as "eukaryotic LSU rRNA". It matches the Rfam family "Eukaryotic large subunit ribosomal RNA", at positions 1264 to 1919 of the family's 3401-position model. The record is from RNAcentral. Lineage: Eukaryota; Rhodophyta; Florideophyceae; Ceramiales; Wrangeliaceae.
GAAUCCGCUAAGGAGUGUGUAACAACUCACCUGCCGAAUGAAUUAGCCCUGAAAAUGGAUGGCGCUUAAGCGGCCAACCGACACCAUGCCGUGUGGACUGGCUUGCUAUCCGCAUGAGUAGGAGAGCGUGGCGGUCGUAUCGAAGCGUACGUGCAAACGUUCGUGGAACGGCCGCUAGUGCAGAUCUUGGUGUUAGUAGCAAAUAUUCAAGUGAGAACCUUGAAGGGCGAAGCGGGGAAGGGUUCCACGCGAACAUUGCUUGAGCGUGGGUGAGUCGUUCCUAAACCGAUUAGUAAUUGCUUUCUAUUUCGGUGAAAGGGAAGCAGGUUGAUAUUCCUGCACACGGAUGUGGAUCCGGUGACGGCCGUCUGGCACAGUGACUCCGGCGAUGGAGCUGGGCAGAGAUUUCUUUUCUGUUUAACCAAACCCCCCGUACUCUGUGGAAUCCGCUUGUCGGGAGAAACAGGUACGGCUGGGCAUAGCGCAGGGCCUUUCCCUGCGUCCAGCUUUCCGUCGUCGGGCCUUGAAAAACUGUGUGCUGGCACGAUAUGUGCAUUCUUUGUUGCAUAGCGUGUGUGAAAAAUUCCAUGCCGUGACGUACCCAUAACCGCAUCAGGUCCCCAAGGUGAACAGCCUCUGCUCAAUAUGGUAAAUGCAGGUAAGGGAAGUCGGCA